This 74-nucleotide microRNA precursor is filed under the name Onchocerca ochengi. RNAcentral describes it as "mir-84 microRNA precursor family". It matches the Rfam family "mir-84 microRNA precursor family". Lineage: Eukaryota; Metazoa; Nematoda; Chromadorea; Rhabditida; Onchocercidae. The record is from Rfam by way of RNAcentral.
GAGGUUGAUGAGGUAGUUUAUAAAGCUGCGAGAGUAGAUUAAGCUCGCAGAUUUUAAGCUAUCUCGACUACCUU